AUAUACAAACAAGAAAAGAAUACAAUAAACCCCUUUAAGGUGUUAACCAGCUUCAAGGGCCAACAACUGUCUGCCACUUUGCUUCUCAGUUUUAUUUUUAAGGAAACCAUUUAAUUUUAAUUGAAUAUUACUGAAAUCAGCAACAGCAUCAGCAGCAAUACUCUUUGCCUUAAAGACCAAGGUGGGUGAAACACAUCCCUGGUUAACUUGAGAGAAGUAUGACAAAGAUGUAGGAGGUUGUGUUUUCUCAGUCUUUGACUUAAAAACUGGGAAAUCAGACUAAUCACUCUACAUGAUAAUCAGGAAGAUUUGUUAGUUGUUAUUUAAAUGUUUGGGAUUCUGCACUACUUUAAAGAAAUAAAAUAACUCAAAUCUUUAAAAAUGUCUUUUAAAAAAAUGCAUUCUUCAUUUUAACAUAGAUGCAAAGUAAAUCCUUUAGUAAGGAUCAUGACUUCUCUGCACUGGAUAGAAAGAAUUUAAGCCAGAAAAAAAAAAACCUAGAUAUUAUUUCAGGUAGCUGAAUAUUUCUAAAUCUGUAGGACCUGCUAAGAAAUAUC
Molecule: long non-coding RNA, 557 nt
Filed under: Bos taurus (domestic cattle)
Lineage: Eukaryota; Metazoa; Chordata; Mammalia; Artiodactyla; Bovidae
Description: long non-coding RNA NONBTAT019800
Source: RNAcentral